ACGGAAGGCAGCAGUGGGGAAUAUUGCACAAUGGGGGAAACCCUGAUGCAGCGACGCCGCGUGAGUGAAGAAGUUUUUCGGAAUGUAAAGCUCUAUCAGCAGGGAAGAUAAUGACGGUACCUGACUAAGAAGCCCCGGCUAACUACGUGCCAGCAGCCGCGGUAAUACGUAGGGGGCAAGCGUUAUCCGGAUUUACUGGGUGUAAAGGGAGCGCAGACGGAACAGCAAGUCUGAGGUGAAAUCAUAGGGCUCAACCCUGUAACUGCCUUGGAAACUGUUGAUCUUGAGUACUGGAGGGGUAGGCGGAAUUCCUGGUGUAGCGGUGAAAUGCGUAGAUAUCAGGAAGAACACCGGUGGCGAAGGCGGCCUACUGGACAGUAACUGACGUUCAGGCUCGAAAGCGUGGGGAGCAAACAGGAUUAGAUACCCUGGUA
This 434-nucleotide ribosomal RNA is filed under the name uncultured Lachnospiraceae bacterium. RNAcentral's name for it is "bacterial SSU rRNA". It matches the Rfam family "Bacterial small subunit ribosomal RNA", at positions 341 to 792 of the family's 1533-position model. RNAcentral also lists the same sequence under 1 other name. The record is from RNAcentral. Lineage: Bacteria; Bacillati; Bacillota; Clostridia; Lachnospirales; Lachnospiraceae.